RNAcentral lists this non-coding RNA (28 nucleotides) under Rattus norvegicus (Norway rat). Lineage: Eukaryota; Metazoa; Chordata; Mammalia; Rodentia; Muridae. The record is from RNAcentral.
GAAACCAAACGCUGAUUGUACACAGUGA